GCUCACGAAAUCAAGAGGCAUAUACAAAGAAUGAAAGGCAAGAUUAUUAAUUUUGCUAUUAUUUUCUUCACUCUUUUUCUUUUAUUUAAUUAAUUUGGGAGUAGUAGGAGUACUAUUUUGAUUCAUUAUGCUGAUUUUCUGAUUAUGCUUUUGUUACACUUUUCAGCUGUAUUUGUUAAUUAAAGGACGUUUCUUUUCUCCUUUUCGGAUCUCUACAAUAACAUUGGAUACUUAAGGAUGUCUAUAUUCUAUAUAUGUACCUUUCUCAAUCAGUACAUUCUUUUAUUAGUUAGUAGGAAUAGAAUAUUCAAUUCUUAAAGAUUCUCUUAAAAUUCUUCAGUUUUGAGUUUAAUUCAAGCACAUGUCCUCCACUACUAAUGAAUCUUUGGAAUCAUUAGUAAUAGUAUUGACUGUUGGGUAUCAUCAAAAGUUGCAUAUAUGACUUAGGAAAUUGAUACCAUACAUAAUUAAUUAAUUAAUUAAUUUUCAAUGGAAAUUAAAUUAGGCGUGGAGAAUGCAGAACCAGACUUGAAAACUCACAAGUGACAGUGAAAGGUGUGUUUGAGGCAACAAAACUGGUGGAUUAUGUAAGCAAAAGGACCGGAAAACGGGCAGUAAUCGUUAAGUAGAACCCGAAAAGAAACCCGAGGAGGAGACGAAGCCCAAAGAAGAGAAAAAACCCGACGAAAAAGAAGCGAAGAAAGUUGAAGAAAACAAAGAGGAGAAGAAGAAAGAACUAGCAGGGGCACCAGCUAAAGAAGAAGCAACAGCAACACAAGCUAAAGAAGAAACUGUUCAAAACAAGUUUAGGAUGUGUUUGCACCCUGUUUGAAAAGAUCAAUAUGAAAAUAUUGCUAUGUCACAAGAAGACGUAGUUCAUGCUCUUGUUGAUGAGGAUAGUGGGGAGGAAUCGGAUCAUGUCUCUAACACCCAACGUUGACUUUUUUGAUUCGUAUACUUUUAGAUUGUAAUAUUGCUAUGUUUUCUUGGAUAUGUAUAUAUAUUUUUUUAUGAUAGUUUUAAUUCGAAUUAGAUGUACUUGUGAAGGUGAAUUUGAUUGUAGGAAGUAGUUUAUGGAUGUUUUAACUUUACGAUGUUUAAGUGUUUGAAUAUAAAAAGUAGUUUAUGGUUGUUUAAAAA
This is a long non-coding RNA of Lycium barbarum (goji berry), 1140 nucleotides long. RefSeq lists it as uncharacterized. The transcript has 2 exons. NCBI's taxonomy places the organism in Eukaryota, Viridiplantae, Streptophyta, Magnoliopsida, Solanales, Solanaceae. The record is from RefSeq and is a predicted model, not a curated record.